UGGGUGGUUGUUUAAAUGUGCAAACUGUAAUUUAAUAUUUUUUUAAUUUUCAUCUAAAUAUUGCUGUUUGUAUAUUUUUGCUAAUUUUAGAGAUGACAAUGUUCAAAUAAUAAUUUCCUUGUUUAAUAUGAUUUUGUAGAAAGGGAUUUACUUGAGUGGUUGGCUGGUCUUGAACCUGUUCAAGAUGUAUAUGAUAAUGAAAGAGGUGAUCAAGGUGAUAGGGCAGAAAGUGAUGACAAGUUAAGUGAUGAAGACGAAAGUGAUGGGGAGGAAGAAAUCGCCCACUCUGUACCAUUCAAGUGCAUCAGUGCUGCUCAUGAGAAAAACUAUUGACAUCAUUUGGAAAAUAAAGGCAUAAUACCUCGCUCUUCAUGAACAAGAUAACACAGUGAAUUCAAUGUAAGAAUACGGCCAGCACCGUUGAAUCCAAGGGACCCAAGUGCAAUGGUCAAUUCCAGCUUUUAGGUUAUGCAUGCAGGGGGUGAUGGGAAGUAAGGUAUCAUAUUGCUGAUAAUGCUGAAAAAAUAGAAAUGGUGGCCAUGUAAACAUGGAGUGGUAGCUAUUGUAAAUAUUGAAAUAUUUUGGUUGUUUAGGCAGUUUAUUAAAAUUUUUCAGCAUAAUCAGCAAUAUGAUACCUUACUUCCCGUCACCCCCUGCAUGCAUAAAUUAAAAGCUGGAAUUGCCUAUUGAUCUAGACUAUGGAACUGUAUGGACACAUGUUGGUUAUAUUGCUUCUGAACUAUGCAAGUAUUUGCACCCACUAAUUGCUGCAGGAGAUGUUGUGGAUGUCUAUGUUCAGUGUAUCAAGUAUAGGGUUGACUUUUUUAAUUAAAAAUAGGAUUUUAUCCAAAAAUUUUCAUAAAGACACCUGGGGCCGAUUGUUCAAUGGUGGGUUAGCGCUAACCCUGGGUUAAAAUUUAACCUGCUGUUUUAGUUUGUGUACUUCUACACAUAGAUAUGUGUAUUUCAAAACUUCAGAGAAGUAAACUUCUAUCGAUCCAGACAAGAUCUCUGAAGAAAUAUUUCCAAACUUAUAGAAAAGCUGUCAGGAUCGGAAGUUUGCUUCGAAUUUUAGGUUAACCAUGGGCUAAAACUAACCCAGCUUUGAACAACCGGCCCCUGGUGAGUGGAGACUCGAGUGGUAGGAAAAAGCAUGAGUGUAUGUUGACAGAUGUUUUUUAUAUAAUAAAUAGCAACUAGUGCCAACUACCAAGCUAUGUUUAGCAAGUUAAUAGUGCAUUUAUUUCAAUUGGCUAACUUUUUUAGUUUUUCCAGCAUUUUUUAAACAAACCAUAGGUUAUGAAUGAUAACUGGGUAUAUCUAAUUAAACCAAUCUGUCA
Non-coding RNA from Paramuricea clavata, 1340 nucleotides. The record is from the annotation of a GenBank genome assembly. NCBI's taxonomy places the organism in Eukaryota, Metazoa, Cnidaria, Anthozoa, Malacalcyonacea, Plexauridae.